CGGGUGAGUAAUGCAUCGGAACGUGCCCAGUAUGGGGGAUAACUAGUCGAAAGAUUAGCUAAUACCGCAUACGACCUAUGGGUGAAAGCGGGGGACCUUUACCGGCCUCGCGCUAUCGGAGCGGCCGAUGUCUGAUUAGCUAGUUGGCGGGGUAAAAGCCCACCAAGGCUUCGAUCAGUAGCUGGUCUGAGAGGACGACCAGCCACACUGGGACUGAGACACGGCCCAG
RNAcentral lists this ribosomal RNA (229 nucleotides) under uncultured bacterium. RNAcentral describes it as "partial 16S ribosomal RNA". It matches the Rfam family "Bacterial small subunit ribosomal RNA", at positions 103 to 334 of the family's 1533-position model. The record is from RNAcentral.